GAUGAACGCUAGCUACAGGCUUUAACACAUGCAAGUCGAGGGGAAACGAUAUUGGAAGCUUGCUUCCGAUAGGCGUCGACCGGCGCACGGGUGAGUAAACGCGUAUCCAACCUGCCCGUCACUUGGGAAUAACCUUGCGAAAGUAAGACUAAUGCCCAAUGACAUUUAUAGAAGGCAUCUGAAAUGAAUUAAAGAUUUAUCGGUGAUGGAUGGGGAUGCGUCUGAUUAGCUUGUUGGCGGGGUAACGGCCCACCAAGGCGACGAUCAGUAGGGGUUCUGAGAGGAAGGUCCCCCACAUUGGAACUGAGACACGGUCCAAACUCCUACGGGAGGCAGCAGUGAGGAAUAUUGGUCAAUGGGCGAGAGCCUGAACCAGCCAAGUAGCGUGCAGGAAGACGGCCCUAUGGGUUGUAAACUGCUUUUAUAGGGGAAUAAAGUGAGCCACGUGUGGCUUUUUUGCAUGUACCCUAUGAAAUAAAGGACCGGCUAAUUCCGUACCAGCCGCCGCGGUAAC
RNAcentral lists this ribosomal RNA (514 nucleotides) under uncultured bacterium. RNAcentral describes it as "bacterial SSU rRNA". It matches the Rfam family "Bacterial small subunit ribosomal RNA", at positions 28 to 524 of the family's 1533-position model. The record is from RNAcentral.